UAUGAUAAAAAUUAGUGGCAGACGGGUGAGUAAUGCAUAGGAAUCUACCUAGUAGUAUGGGAUAGCCACUAGAAAUGGUGGGUAAUACUGUAUAAUCCCUGCGGGGGAAAGAUUUAUCGCUAUUAGAUGAGCCUAUGUUAGAUUAGCUAGUUGGUAGGGUAAAGGCCUACCAAGGCAGUGAUCUAUAGCUGGUCUGAGAGGAUGAUCAGCCACACUGGAACUGAGAUACGGUCCAGACUCCUACGGGAGGCAGCAGUGGGGAAUAUUGGACAAUGGGCGCAAGCCUGAUCCAGCUAUGCCGCGUGAGUGAGGAAGGCCUUAGGGUUGUAAAACUCUUUCAGUGGGGAAGAUAAUGACGGUACCCACAGAAGAAGUCCCGGCAAACUCCGUGCCAGCAGCCGCGGUAAUACGGAGGGGGCAAGCGUUGUUCGGAAUUAUUGGGCGUAAAGGGCAUGUAGGCGGUUCGGUAAGUUAAAGGUGAAAUGCCAGGGCUUAACCCUGGAGCUGCUUUUAAUACUGCC
RNAcentral lists this ribosomal RNA (521 nucleotides) under uncultured Anaplasma sp. RNAcentral describes it as "bacterial SSU rRNA". It matches the Rfam family "Bacterial small subunit ribosomal RNA", at positions 81 to 637 of the family's 1533-position model. Lineage: Bacteria; Pseudomonadati; Pseudomonadota; Alphaproteobacteria; Rickettsiales; Anaplasmataceae. The record is from RNAcentral.